Molecule: ribosomal RNA, 365 nt
Filed under: uncultured bacterium
Lineage: Bacteria
Description: bacterial SSU rRNA
Rfam family: Bacterial small subunit ribosomal RNA
Source: RNAcentral
GGGCUCACACAAGCGGUGGGGUAUGUGGUUUAAUUCGAUAAUACGCGCAAAACCUUACCAGUUCUUGACAUCUAUCGUUUAUUCGUACUGAGAAGUCUGAAUAUUAUAGAUAGACAGGUGUUGCAUGGCUGUCGUCAGCUCGUGUCGUGAGAUGUUUGUUAAGUCCUUUAACGAGCGUAACCCCUAAAACUUACUAUGAUUGAGCUUCUAAUUGCUUGAAGCAUCAACCUAGUAAGUUUUCAACUGCCGAUGAUAAAUCGGAGGAAGGUGGGGAUGACGUCAAGUCUUCAUGGCCCUUAUGAACUGGGCUACACACAUGCUACAAUGGUGAUGACAAUGAGAAGCAAAAGUGAAAGCUGGAGCAA